UACGUAGGGCGCAAGCGUUGUCCGGAAUUAUUGGGCGUAAAGAGCUCGUAGGCGGUUUGUCGCGUCUGCUGUGAAAACUCGAGGCUCAACCUCGGGCUUGCAGUGGGUACGGGCAGACUAGAGUGCGGUAGGGGUGACUGGAAUUCCUGGUGUAGCGGUGAAAUGCGCAGAUAUCAGGAGGAACACCGGUGGCGAAGGCGGGUCUCUGGGCCGAUACUGACGCUGAGGAGCGAAAGCGUGGGGAGCAAACGGG
RNAcentral lists this ribosomal RNA (253 nucleotides) under uncultured bacterium. RNAcentral describes it as "partial 16S ribosomal RNA". It matches the Rfam family "Bacterial small subunit ribosomal RNA", at positions 524 to 776 of the family's 1533-position model. The record is from RNAcentral.